UACGUAGGGUGCAAGCGUUAAUCGGAAUUACUGGGCGUAAAGCGUGCGCAGGCGGCUUUGCAAGUCAGAUGUGAAAUCCCCGGGCUUAACCUGGGAACUGCAUUUGUGACUGCAUGGCUGGAGUGCGGCAGAGGGGGAUGGAAUUCCGCGUGUAGCAGUGAAAUGCGUAGAUAUGCGGAGGAACACCGAUGGCGAAGGCAGUCCCCUGGGCCUGCACUGACGCUCAUGCACGAAAGCGUGGGGAUCAAACAGG
RNAcentral lists this ribosomal RNA (253 nucleotides) under uncultured bacterium. RNAcentral's name for it is "partial 16S ribosomal RNA". It matches the Rfam family "Bacterial small subunit ribosomal RNA", at positions 524 to 776 of the family's 1533-position model. The record is from RNAcentral.